CUGAGAGACUUCAUUGUCGCUUAGCAACAACUUUGUUUGCUAGUAUUGACGAACUACAUUGCUUGGCGGAAGGAGGACGAGCUGUUAUUUUUAGUCAGAUGCUGUGGAUUAAAAACUUGAUUUUCCUCUUGCCUUGUUCUUUUUAAUUAGCUCGCAAUCCCGUGGAACCGUUUUCAGCUACUCAUACGUCACAGCCCCUGGUCUAAAAAAAUCACUAUUGGUGACGCCAUCAGAGCCUCCCACAGCCAGCAAGGCACCAUUGAAGACUACAAGGGACACCUGAGGCACAAUACACAAGAGUGUCCACCUCAUACUGUCCGGGUUAAACCUCUCCGCAGCACAGAGCUCCAAGUUUAGCUCGUCUUUGCCACCAGCCACAUAGAUGUGUCCCAAGUACACAGCGCAGCCGGUGUUCUCCCUGGGACUCAGCAUGUGGGCGCAUAUCGACCAGAAAACAGCUGCUGCUGCUGCUGGAAACAAGGCUGAUGAGAGUGCUGGUCCCUCACAGGGACAAGAGGUGCCAACUUGCCACAUGGCUCUGCCAGUCUCCAGCUGGGACCAGCUCCGGCACCCCUGCUGCUCUGCACAGAUGGGACAGGUCAUCAUGCCAUCCACUGACACAGUACAUGGCUGUUGUGUUAACUUAAGAUCCCAGAUGGGUGGAAUCACACAAGGUCUAAUUGUUAAACCUAAUGUAUGGUGGGCCCAAACACUAUUAUUAUUAGUAGAAAUUCUUAAAAUAUGCACCCAGUGAUGAGACAGUUUUACAAACAACACUACAUGAUUAAGAUAACCUAAAUGGGGUUUUUUUUCUUUUUUUUGCUGAUGAUACAAAUUAUUUGUAUUAUUUUUAUUUGGCAUGUUAGCCAAUCUAAAUAAAAAAAAAAAAGUGUUUUGUUGAUUUAGAUUUUCUGAUUUAAACUGAAAGACUAAGUGCUCCCUUAUGGGUUGAAUAUGUUCUGUCUACUUCUUAAGCUAAAAAACCCAUCUAGAAACCCAUUUGAUUAUCGGAAAAAUGCAUUGUCAAAAAGCUGGAAACUGCUGUUUUUCACAGCUCAGGAAGUUUACUUUUUUGAGGUUCAUGGUUUUCGCAGGACAGCCUAAUUGUAACUCUUUGUUACUUAACGCAUAGACUGUAUAUAAAUACAAUAUUAAAUGUUGUACAGUACAUACAAAUGUAUAAAUAUAGCUUGACCUAAAUGGUUGAGAAAAGGAGCAUUAGCUGUAACUGGGAUUUACGCGGUAGUUGUGAUCAUCUUAAAAAAAAUAAAGGCAAUUUGUCACUGA
Long non-coding RNA from Siniperca chuatsi (mandarin fish), 1287 nucleotides. RefSeq lists it as uncharacterized. Lineage: Eukaryota; Metazoa; Chordata; Actinopteri; Centrarchiformes; Sinipercidae. The transcript has 5 exons. The record is from RefSeq and is a predicted model, not a curated record.